GGAAUAUUGACCCCUUAAGGACACAUGACAUGUCAUGAUUCCCUUUUAUUCCAGAAAUCUGGUCCUUAAGGGGUUAAACAAUUAAUCUGUCAGUAUUUCAGAACUGCUUGCAAAACAUAAUUGAAAGGAAGUCACAAGCUAUGACAGUUUCUAUGUAUCAGGAAAUGCCUAACCACAAUGUAUAUGUGAUAUUUUGUAAGAUUAGAUUAUUGAAUGUAACAGCAGAAACUGCUUCCUCUUUUAUGUAUCUUGUGUAACCUUUUUGUAACCUUUUGUAACCAAUAUUCGUGACAAGUAUAGUAUAAAUAUAGCGAAUCUUGAAUAAACGAUCAGAAGAUUAUGGAGAGCAAAAAGUGUGUGUCUGGUUAAUACGCUUCCAUAAAAAUCUUCCCUGAAUAUUCAGCUGACAAUCGAGGGUUGGAGAAUAGUGACCAGAGGGACCGAGUCACCAGAGUAGCAGAUUUACCUUUCAGCUUGGUGUCAGAAGUGGGAUUGUAGCCAAAACCAUUUUGGGUGAGUAGUAAUUCCUUGUGUCUAUCUUGACGCCCUGAAUCUAUGAUCCCCAUGGUUUUGUAAGUCUACAUCAUUUUAGGAAAGGUUAUUUAGUAUAUGUGUUUUCUGUGACUCAGUUUUACAUAAGGUCCCGUUAAAUUAGUCUAGUAAGGGAACUAGACAGAGAGAUAUAUGUAUUUCUAGUAAGUGAACUAGAGAAGGUCUAAUAAGAGAAUUGGACAGAUAAAGUCUAUAAAGUGAUAUAGACAGAGAAUUUAGUAUAUAAGUGAAUAUACUACGAUAGUGUGCACAGAGUUUCAGGUUCACCUUGUCCACCCUCUAAUUGUCAUUAGUUAAGUCUGGUUGUGAGUGUGAAUAAGUGUUUGAAAGAUUUGUCCUAGGAAUGGGAAAUUACCAUGUAAGAAUAUGAAGUAGUUAACUUUUCUUGUUCAUAUGUAUUUUAUGCUUAAAUAAGGUUUAUAAUCAGUAGUGCUGACUGUAAGGAUAUGAAAUAGUUAAACUAUUUUUGCUUUAUAUGCUAACCCUGAAAAUAUACUCACUGAGAAUCUUGUUAAAGCACAUUUGUAGUGUCCAUGUCUUUAUUGCAAACAAUGAUUCUCCAUCAAUUGGGUGAUUGUCUAUACUGGGGACACACUUUGGUAAGUUAGUAGUGUGUCCACCCUGAGUCAGCAGUAUGGGAAAUGUAAGUUCUGGUCCUGAGUGACCAAUAUAUAUACAUAUAUAUAUAAUAGCAGUACUGUAUAUUAGAAAAGAACUGACUUGCAGGUUGUACCUGAUAGACCUACUUAAAUCUUUUGCUUUAUUCUUUCUGUUGCAUAUAAGUAUAAGUUUAUUACUCUGUUGUAUUGUAAGUUAUUUCACAUGGGAUCUGUGUGCCUGGUAUGAUUGUUGCUUUAAUACCAUAAGCCCACUACACUUUCUAUGAGAGUGGGAUAGUGUAAAUGUGUUGCAUUGUUUGCAUGAUGAGCUCAGUAUUUUUAUAACUGAGACAAAAUGUCACUUCAUUAGUAUUUGAAAGUUAAUUCCCCAUAUGGGAUUAAUUGUAUAGAAUACCAAUCAGCACAUCUUCCCUGCCCUGUGUGUUUGUUGCAAAGGAUCCAUACUGUAAAUAUGAUUUUUGUUUGUUAAUAAGAGAGCAACAUUUACAUUUUCAGCGGUCCAACACAUGCUUCAUUUUGCGCUGUAAACUAACCUUUUUAUUGCAACAGAUUCCUUUUAAAUGAUCCAGUGUAAUAACUACUGCAUAUGUUUUGUGUCUUCUAUGUCUCACAUUAUAUGUGUUCUGUUCUUUUAAAUUGUGGUAUAUAGCCUGGAUCAGAGAUUAUGGACAAAGGUUUCUACCUGUUUUACUAAGGCUCUUGGAGGCUGACCGGUCUAAGGUUUGCCAUGCCUUUUAAACAUGGUAUAGAAUAAUUUUUUUUAAGUCUCUGAGAGUUCUGUAAGAUUCUGGUGAAACCAUGUCUGUGUAAUCUGGUCCAAAUGUUUGCUCAAUUUCUAUAAGAUUUAAGUUGAUGCAGUAUCAUCUCAGAUUAGUUAAUGGAAGUUUCAUACAAAUAUUUGAGUUAUGAGCGCGCUAUAUAAAUGGAUCCUUUCUCUAUAUACAAUAC
RNAcentral lists this long non-coding RNA (2120 nucleotides) under Pelobates cultripes (western spadefoot toad). The record is from RNAcentral. Lineage: Eukaryota; Metazoa; Chordata; Amphibia; Anura; Pelobatidae.